RNAcentral lists this ribosomal RNA (273 nucleotides) under uncultured Ascomycota. RNAcentral's name for it is "partial 18S ribosomal RNA". It matches the Rfam family "Eukaryotic small subunit ribosomal RNA", at positions 548 to 826 of the family's 1831-position model. Lineage: Eukaryota; Fungi; Ascomycota. The record is from RNAcentral.
UUGGAGGGCAAGUCUGGUGCCAGCAGCCGCGGUAAUUACCAGCUCCGAAUAGCGUAUAUUAAAGUUGUUGCAGUUAAAAAGCUCGUAGUUGAACCUUGGCUCUGGCUGGCCGGUCCGCCUCACCGCGAGUACUGGUCCGGCUGGAGCUUUCCUUCUGGGGAACCUCAUGGCCUUCACUGGCUGUGGGGGGGACCAGGACUUUUACUGUGAAAAAAUUAGAGUGUUCAAAGCAGGCCUUUGCUCGAAUACAUUAGCAUGGAAUAAUAGAAUAGG